GACGAACGCUGGCGGCGCGCUUAACACAUGCAAGUCGAGCGAAGCGGCGGACGGGUGAGUAACACGUGAGUAACCUGCCUUAGACAUUGGGAUAGCCUCGGGAAAUCGGGAUUCCUACCAAAUGGUCUAAGAUGGACUCGCGUCCCAUUAGCUAGUUGGUGGGUAACGGCCCACCAAGGCGACGAUGGGUAGCCGGCAUGAGAGGGUGAACGGCCACAUUGGAGCGGAGAAACGGGCCAAAAUCUACGGGAGGCAGGAGUGGUGAAUAUUGCACAAUGGAGGGAACUAAGAUGCAGCGACGCCGGGUGAACGAAGAAGGCUUUCGAGACGUAAAGUUCUUUUAUAUGAGAAGCGGGACCAAAAGAAAAAGCCCCGGCUAACUACGUGCCAGCAGCCGCGGUAAUAC
RNAcentral lists this ribosomal RNA (406 nucleotides) under uncultured bacterium. RNAcentral's name for it is "partial 16S ribosomal RNA". It matches the Rfam family "Bacterial small subunit ribosomal RNA", at positions 28 to 526 of the family's 1533-position model. The record is from RNAcentral.